UUAUUAAAGUUUCUCUAGAUUUAAGAAUAUAAAGAUGCAAGUUGGGCUGUUUGGGAGAGUAAACAAGACCACACUCCACAGUGGGCUAUACCACUUAGUAUAGUUCACUACUAUUUUGUGGCCUACAUU
Nycticebus coucang (slow loris) is the source of this 129-nucleotide small nucleolar RNA. RefSeq annotates it as small nucleolar RNA SNORA4. NCBI's taxonomy places the organism in Eukaryota, Metazoa, Chordata, Mammalia, Primates, Lorisidae. The record is from RefSeq and is a predicted model, not a curated record. The transcript has a single exon.